GGGCGGUUAGUCUCAGUUGGUAGAGCACUGCCUUCACACGGCAGGGGUCGCUGGUUCGAGUCCAGUACCGCCCA
This is a non-coding RNA of Chromobacterium violaceum ATCC 12472, 74 nucleotides long. Lineage: Bacteria; Pseudomonadati; Pseudomonadota; Betaproteobacteria; Neisseriales; Chromobacteriaceae. The record is from Rfam.